AGAGCCGGAAGGGAGUGGGGGGAGUUGGGACUGCAAUUGUCCUCCAGAUUUUUGAACGAAAACAGAUUCAGAGCCGAGGGAGUGAAAACUUAAGCCUCCGGGCACGGAACUCUAGUUCCCGGGAGGCGCGGUCCCCGCUUUCCUGCUGGGGCGCCCGGGCGCUGGGCGUCCGCCGCUUGGCUGCGGAGGUGCGGUGGCUGCGUCUCGGGGAGCUCGGGCCUUUCUGUGGCUCCCAGGCUCUGCGGCGCGACUCUGGGCUCGGGCGUCCCCAGGCCCUGGCCGACCUCGCCAGCCGCAGAGCCCACCGCCUCCCCCGCUGGCGUAAACCGAACACGCCCUGCCUCGGGCCUCGGGCCUCGGCCCCGCCCGCCCGGCUGCCGGGCACUGGCGGGCGCAGGGAGGCUCAGCUUGCGACGCGAUAACGCGUGUAUUUGCCUACAAUAGAAUUCAAAGGACUAAAGAAUCUGUGUGAUGCUACAGAUGAAAGCCCUGCCCAGUUGCACAACAGUCAAGGGGACUUCUACUUUGGGGCCUCAGAGCAAAUGAGAAUGCCGAAGUUUGGACUCUAAGACCUAUCAGUACAGUCAAGUAAGCAAGCCAACCCUAAAACUCUGGAUGAGGACGCAGUGUCAGAGGAUGGGCACGCCCUGUGAGCCCGGAUCUAGGGAGCAGAACCCCCUACCAAUCUACUUUGGGUGCAUCUGCCCUGACUGACACAUUUGCCUUGAAGGUAUCAGAGCAACAUGCUAUACUGAGUUUCAUCAACACUGACUGCCACUCAGCUACACAUUAGCAAUGAAAGCCAUGUCCUCUGUUCCCAGGACCUUUUGCUGAAUGCUUUUUGAAUAAGAAAAAAUAGAACUUUACUUACCAUUAUUUUUCCCUCCAAGUAGGUUAGAAGUGGGAUAAGUCUGAGCAGAUAAGGAAAACAAGAAAGAGCAGACAGUGCUCUGACUGAGCUGUGAUUAUUGAGUGCCUACUAACUAGAAACUGUAGGGUCUCCAAUAUCUGAAAAGACAGACCCACUUUCCAUAAGAUGUUGACACCCAAAGUCAGUCAUUAGUUUA
This is a non-coding RNA of Microcebus murinus (gray mouse lemur), 1067 nucleotides long. The record is from RefSeq and is a predicted model, not a curated record. NCBI's taxonomy places the organism in Eukaryota, Metazoa, Chordata, Mammalia, Primates, Cheirogaleidae.